AUUGAACGCUGGCGGCAGGCUUAACACAUGCAAGUCGAGCGGGGUGAUGGUGCUUGCACUAUCACUUAGCGGCGGACGGGUGAGUAAUGCUUAGGAAUCUGCCUAUUAGUGGGGGACAACAGCUCGAAAGGGAUGCUAAUACCGCAUACGUCCUACGGGAGAAAGCAGGGGAUCACUUGUGACCUUGCGCUAAUAGAUGAGCCUACGUCGGAUUAGCUAGUUGGUGGGGUAAAGGCCUACCAAGGCGACGAUCUGUAGCGGGUCUGAGAGGAUGAUCCGCCACACUGGGACUGAGACACGGCCCAGACUCCUACGGGAGGCAGCAGUGGGGAAUAUUGGACAAUGGGGGGAACCCUGAUCCAGCCAUGCCGCGUGUGUGAAGAAGGCCUUAUGGUUGUAAAGCACUUUAAGCGAGGAGGAGGCUCUUUUGGUUAAUACCCAAGAUGAGUGGACGUUACUCGCAGAAUAAGCACCGGCUAACUCUGUGCCAGCCGCCGCAGUAA
Molecule: ribosomal RNA, 503 nt
Filed under: uncultured bacterium
Lineage: Bacteria
Description: partial 16S ribosomal RNA
Rfam family: Bacterial small subunit ribosomal RNA
Source: RNAcentral